RNAcentral lists this ribosomal RNA (460 nucleotides) under uncultured bacterium. RNAcentral's name for it is "partial 16S ribosomal RNA". It matches the Rfam family "Bacterial small subunit ribosomal RNA", at positions 338 to 795 of the family's 1533-position model. The record is from RNAcentral.
CCUACGGGCGGCAGCAGUGAGGAAUAUUGGUCAAUGGACGAGAGUCUGAACCAGCCAAGUAGCGUGAAGGAUGACUGCCCUAUGGGUUGUAAACUUCUUUUAUAAAGGAAUAAAACGAGGCACGUGUGCCUUUUUGCAUGUACUUUAUGAAUAAGGAUCGGCUAACUCCGUGCCAGCAGCCGCGGUAAUACGGAGAAUCCGAGCGUUAUCCGGAUUGAUUGGGUUUAAAGGGAGCGUAGAUGGGUUGUUAAGUCCGUUGUGAAAGUUUGCGGCUCAACCGUAAAAUUGCAAUUGAUACUGGCAGUCUUGAGUACAUGUGAGGUAGGCGGAAUUCGUGGUGUAGCGGUGAAAUGCUUAGAUAUCACGAAGAACCCCGAUUGCGAAGGCAGCUUACUAAACUGUGACUGACAUUGAUGCUCGAAAGUGUGGGUAUCAAACAGGAUUAGAUACCCGUGUAGUC